Hemicordylus capensis (graceful crag lizard) is the source of this 1051-nucleotide long non-coding RNA. RefSeq lists it as uncharacterized. The transcript has 5 exons. The record is from RefSeq and is a predicted model, not a curated record. NCBI's taxonomy places the organism in Eukaryota, Metazoa, Chordata, Lepidosauria, Squamata, Cordylidae.
CCGGGACGUGGGUGUUGUACCUGCACCGCAGCUUUAAUCUCCAGGUCGAACUUGACGAUCUCCUGGUUGCAAACUCGGACCGGCACGUCACCGGCAGCAGCCAUGUUGGGAUCGACUACUACGGCGAGCGAAUGGAGUUAAUCACAAACAACAAGUUAUCUGUAGAAGAGAUAAGGUGACAGCAUAAAUCUACCAGACUGCAACCCCCUAGGAAAGAAGAAUAUCUCUACCUACAUGAAGGAAGUUCUUCAAAAGAUUCCCAGACAUUUCCAGAAGCAAGAUCUGGUAGUUACUGGGCAGUGCUGGGCAGACCAGAGCCAUUUUCAUGAGAUGAAACUGAAAUGAAUGCCCAUAUUUGAUAGUCGGCAUGCCCUGUGAUGUUGGGAGGUAGAGAAAACGAACAAUGAGGAUCCCCUUCUGGUCAUAUCGGAGCAUACAUUAUUUCAGUGAACUAGCUGUCAUCCGUCUAUAAAAACAUGGACCAUACAUCCAGUAGCCAAAAUACCACAUGAAAGAUGCUUUUCCUGCGCGACUUGGGAAAACUUCAUGGACUGCUUCUCAUCUCUAUAUGUGCCAAUGAGCAUAAAGUGGUCGAAGAAUACUAAUGAAGAAUACUAUGGCCAAAGAUCCAAGAUCAAAUUAUUACAUAAGAUACAAAAGCAACAAGUCUUUUCAGAAGGCCAAGAUGCAGGUCUGAAUGGAGGUUUAAAGGCUUACCAAAUUUAAUUACCAAAUUAAACCUGCCUAAUCAGUUCCAGAUAAGACACUGAAGUUAAGAGAGAGGAGUGAGGAGUCAACACUGCAUUCCAGGCUCUCCUCCUUUCAGUCACUUUGGCAAGGUGGCAAGUUUUCGACCUAGUUGUAAAACAGACUGUACCAGCUUUACAGGAACAUGGACACUUGCUAUUCAGCGAUGACUACAAAAUAAUUCUAAUUUCUUCCACAAAUUAUGUUAUGGGUCAUUAGCCUUGCCAACCUAGACAUUCAAAAAAGCCUUUUCCAUGCUGUCCCUCCCCCUGGGUCCUACAGUAGCCUGGCUCUAGAUCACAAG